CCUACGGGAGGCAGCAGUGGGGAAUAUUGCACAAUGGGGGGAACCCUGAUGCAGCAACGCCGCGUGGGUGAAGAAGUACUUCGGUAUGUAAAGCCCUGUCAGCAGGGAAGAAAAUGACGGUACCUGACCAAGAAGCCCCGGCUAAAUACGUGCCAGCAGCCGCGGUAAUACGUAGGGGGCAAGCGUUAUCCGGAUUUACUGGGUGUAAAGGGAGCGUAGACGGCAAGGCAAGUCUGGAGUGAAAGCCCGGGGCUCAACCACGGGACUGCUUUGGAAACUGUGUUGCUGGAGUGCAGGAGGGGUAAGCGGAAUUCCUAGUGUAGCGGUGAAAUGCGUAGAUAUUAGGAGGAACACCAGUGGCGAAGGCGGCUUACUGGACUGUAACUGACGUUGAGGCUCGAAGGCGUGGGGAGCAAACAGGAUUAGAUACCCGUGUAGUC
Molecule: ribosomal RNA, 440 nt
Filed under: uncultured bacterium
Lineage: Bacteria
Description: partial 16S ribosomal RNA
Rfam family: Bacterial small subunit ribosomal RNA
Source: RNAcentral